UACGGAGGGGGCUAGCGUUGUUCGGAAUUACUGGGCGUAAAGCGCACGUAGGCGGCUUUGUAAGUUAGAGGUGAAAGCCCGGAGCUCAACUCCGGAACUGCCAUUGAAACUGUUUAGCUUGAGGAUGAGAGAGGUGAGUGGAAUUCCCAGUGUAGAGGUGAAAUUCGUAGAUAUUGGGAAGAACACCGGUGGCGAAGGCGGGUCUCUGGGCAGUAACUGACGCUGAGGAGCGAAAGCGUGGGGAGCGAACAGG
RNAcentral lists this ribosomal RNA (253 nucleotides) under uncultured bacterium. RNAcentral describes it as "partial 16S ribosomal RNA". It matches the Rfam family "Bacterial small subunit ribosomal RNA", at positions 524 to 776 of the family's 1533-position model. The record is from RNAcentral.